CCUACGGGAGGCAGCAGUGAGGAAUAUUGGUCAAUGGACGAGAGUCUGAACCAGCCAAGUAGCGUGAAGGAUGACUGCCCUGUGGGUUGUAAACUUCUUUUAUAUGGGAAUAAAAUUUUCCACGUGUGGGAUUUUGUAUGUACCCUAUGAAUAAGGAUCGGCCAACUCCGUGCCAGCCGCCGCGGUAAUACGGAGGAUCCGAGGGUUAUCCGGAUUUAUUGGGUUUAAAGGGAGCGUAGGUGGAUUGUUAAGUCAGUUGUGAAAGUUUGCGGCUCAACCGUAAAAUUGCAGUUGUAACUGGCAGUCUUGAGUACAGUAGAGGUGGGCGGAAUGCGUGGUGUAGCGGUGAAAUGCUUAGAUAUCACGAAGAACUCCGAUUGCGAAGGCAGCUCACUGGACUGCAACUGACACUGAGGCUCGAAAGUGUGGGUAUCAAACAGGAUUAGAUACCCUAGUAGUC
This 460-nucleotide ribosomal RNA is filed under the name uncultured bacterium. RNAcentral describes it as "partial 16S ribosomal RNA". It matches the Rfam family "Bacterial small subunit ribosomal RNA", at positions 338 to 795 of the family's 1533-position model. The record is from RNAcentral.